This 468-nucleotide ribosomal RNA is filed under the name uncultured bacterium. Its description in RNAcentral is "bacterial SSU rRNA". It matches the Rfam family "Bacterial small subunit ribosomal RNA", at positions 30 to 483 of the family's 1533-position model. The record is from RNAcentral.
AUUGAACGCUGGCGGCAUGCUUUACACAUGCAAGUCGAACGGCAGCACGGGGGCAAUCCUGGUGGCGAGUGGCGAACGGGUGAGUAAUAUAUCGGAACGUACCCGGAAAUGGGGGAUAACGUAGCGAAGGUUACGCUAAUACCGCAUAUGCCCUAAGGGGGAAAGCGGGGGAUUCGCAAGAACCUCGCGUUUUCGGAGCGGCCGAUAUCGGAUUAGCUAGUAGGUGAGGUAAAGGCUCACCUAGGCGACGAUCCGUAGCUGGUCUGAGAGGACGACCAGCCACACUGGAACUGAGACACGGUCCAGACUCCUACGGGAGGCAGCAGUGGGGAAUUUUGGACAAUGGGCGCAAGCCUGAUCCAGCCAUGCCGCGUGAGUGAAGAAGGCCUCGGGUUGGUUAAAGACUCUUUCUAGCCGGAAAGAAAACGACACGGGUUAAUAACCUAGUGUGGAGUGACGGUACCGGAA